This 427-nucleotide ribosomal RNA is filed under the name uncultured Moraxellaceae bacterium. Its description in RNAcentral is "bacterial SSU rRNA". It matches the Rfam family "Bacterial small subunit ribosomal RNA", at positions 356 to 774 of the family's 1533-position model. The record is from RNAcentral. Lineage: Bacteria; Pseudomonadati; Pseudomonadota; Gammaproteobacteria; Moraxellales; Moraxellaceae.
GGGGAAUUUUGGACAAUGGGCGCAAGCCUGAUCCAGCAAUGCCGCGUGCAGGAUGAAGGCCUUCGGGUUGUAAACUGCUUUUGUACGGAACGAAAAGCCUCUCUCUAAUACCCAAGAUGAGUGGACGUUACUCGCAGAAUAAGCACCGGCUAACUCUGUGCCAGCAGCCGCGGUAAUACAGAGGGUGCGAGCGUUAAUCGGAUUUACUGGGCGUAAAGCGUGCGUAGGCGGCUUUUUAAGUCGGAUGUGAAAUCCCCGAGCUUAACUUGGGAAUUGCAUUCGAUACUGGGAAGCUAGAGUAUGGGAGAGGAUGGUAGAAUUCCAGGUGUAGCGGUGAAAUGCGUAGAGAUCUGGAGGAAUACCGAUGGCGAAGGCAGCCAUCUGGCCUAAUACUGACGCUGAGGUACGAAAGCAUGGGGAGCAAACA